Paenibacillus mucilaginosus 3016 is the source of this 129-nucleotide non-coding RNA. NCBI's taxonomy places the organism in Bacteria, Bacillati, Bacillota, Bacilli, Caryophanales, Paenibacillaceae. The record is from Rfam.
AAGGCGGUAUCCAUCCGGAACUGCACUUCACGCAUGUUGGAGCUUAUGUUCCUUUAUCCCAAACUUCAUAGCAUCGAUCAGCAAUAUGUCGGAUUCUGCUCUGAGCCCUGCGGGGACCGAGACAGAAGG